RNAcentral lists this transfer RNA (62 nucleotides) under Mitjaevia dworakowskae. RNAcentral describes it as "tRNA-Arg". The record is from RNAcentral. Lineage: Eukaryota; Metazoa; Arthropoda; Insecta; Hemiptera; Cicadellidae.
AACAAAGAAGUAAAAUAUUACAUUUAGUUUCGACCUAAAAAUAAGAUUUAAAUCUCAUGUUU